UUGACAGCCCUGGAGACUGAUACUUUCUAGUUAUCCACAGAAGGGGUACAGCAUAGAUUGUAGCAGUGCAAAUUUAUUGACACUUCCCUCACUAAUAUGCUUCAACCUAGCUACGGAGGGACAACCUCUGAAGGAUGUUCCCAUUCAGUUCUUGGCCCCUCUGCUGGGAUUGCU
Molecule: small RNA, 174 nt
Filed under: Chrysemys picta bellii (western painted turtle)
Lineage: Eukaryota; Metazoa; Chordata; Testudines; Emydidae
Description: TUC338 (ENSCPBG00000025394.1)
Source: RNAcentral